CUCUCCGACGUGGGCAGAGAUGCAGGGAACCACCACGUUGUACGGCAACCAACGUGCCGCCCCUCUGUGGGCGGGGAUUCACACUAGCUGUCUGUGUCAAGGCCACGCAGAAAUCUAUUGGAAAUCGCUGUGGAAACAAACGCAAAUGAAAAGCCGCAAAGAGCAAAGGCUGCUCACUGGCCCGUCUCCUCUCAUGACUGCUGCUCUGGGAACCACCUCUCUGCUCUCCAUCGCUACCACUCUAGCCUGUGGCCUGCUCCUGGUUGAAGAAGCCAUCAAUGAAAAUGAAUACCACUCUGGAAAUCUUGGGUGGUCUGACCUGAUAUUUUCGCAUAGUGGCCACAGAUAUUUUAGGCCCCCAAGAGGUAGUCUUACUCUUUCAAUUUUACUGGCUCCACUGUUUGAGGAACUUGGAACAAUUUCCCCAGGGACUGGUCUGGAGGUACUGUUGAAUAACACCACGGUGUUUUUUUUCCUCUCCACCAAGGGCCCGUUGAUGUCUCAAGACCAGACAUAAAACUUUUGGUGCUCAAGUCACUCAGAAUGAGAGUCCUGCUUUCCCUCAGCACUCUUGCCCUUUGAGGGUGGGGCCAAAUGUUUUCUUCCUUUCUUACUGAGGACUUUUGAUCCUGGUUUUUGAUAUUUGUCAUUCCCAGGGGGAAUUUUGUACCCUGUGUCUUGGUAAAGUGUAAGACCACUGUGGAUUUUGGGGUUAAGUCUCAUUUCCCUAUCCCUCCCUUCAAGAGAAGAAAGAAAGAGAGAAUACCCAAACCCUGCAUCGUCUCUCACUCGCCUGUCCAGAGCCUAUGGAACAGCCAUUGGGGCAGCUGUCACAAGCUGUUCACACAGCUUUUCUGAUAUACUGACAGUCUCAUGAGGAAGUGCAUAUAACUCCCUGCAAUGGUUUGAAUGUGUCCUCCGAAGUUUAUGUGCUGGAAACUUAAUACUCAAUACAACAGUGUUGACAGGUGGGACCUUUAAGAGGUGAUUAGAUCACAAGGGCUCCGUCCUUAUGAAUGGAUUAAGGUUAUUGAGAGAGUGGGACGCUUAUGCAAGCAAGUUUAGCCUCCUUCCUGUGUGCUCUCUCUCUCUUUCUCUCUAAAAAAGAAUGGGAGUUAUUAGAUGCUUUUUUUCAAAAAGAACCCUGGCUCCUUAUACUAUCUCUACAAUUUCUUUACAUCCUAUUCUAACUCCUCACAUUCCAUUCCUUCUUAAUCUUACUUAACCUUACUAUAGUUUUCAUUUUCACCAAGAUUUAUAGUGACUCCAGCUAGUCAAAAACGAUGGUUAACAUUCUUUAUGAUUUCAUCUUACUGACCAAUUGGCAUGUGGUUAACCACUCUUCCACUCUUAAAACACCCUUGGCUUCCCUGAGACCAUGUUCUUUGGAUUUUUUCCCAUACCAUUGGCUUUUGUUUCACUCCUUUGGGUUUUCUUUCUUUGCUCAACUCCUAAAUUUUUGAGUACUCUAUAGGCUUGAUUUUGGUUUCUCUGUUUGUUUUCUGUCUUUAUCCUCAUUCUAGGCAAUCUCAUAACCACCAGAAUUAUGACAAUUUCCAAAUGUAUUUCACUAGCCCCACUAAGAUCCAAACUUACAUAUCCAACCUCCUCCUUAAUAUGAAAUUUGAUAGCUAAUAAUCAUUUGAAACCAGAAUUCUUGAUUCCUCUCUCAAAUCUGUUCUUGUCUUUAUCAUUUCAGUAAAUGACAUAUCUACUUAGUUGUUCAAGCUAAAAACCUAGAAGUCAUUCUUGAUUCCUUCCUUUCUGUCACCCCUGUGUCCAUCCAUCAGCAAAUCUAGUCAGCUCACCCUCCAAAAUCAAUCUCAAAUCUGAUUAUCUCUUUUAUUCUCUAUCUUUACUCUCUUAGUCCAAAUAAUUGGCUGCAGUAACUAUCUAACUGGUCUCCAUGCUUCUAUGUUUGCCCCCUUACAACCCAUCCUCUACAUAGCAUUCAGGGUGAUUUUUUAAGGAAAAUGUAACUCAGCGCAUGUCUAUUCUCUAUCAUUUAAAUUAAACAAAAUUCGACUUCUUCA
Molecule: long non-coding RNA, 2033 nt
Organism: Homo sapiens (human)
Lineage: Eukaryota; Metazoa; Chordata; Mammalia; Primates; Hominidae
Gene: RPL34-DT
Product: RPL34 divergent transcript
Source: Ensembl